Long non-coding RNA from Paramacrobiotus metropolitanus, 443 nucleotides. RefSeq lists it as uncharacterized. The transcript is spliced from 4 exons. The record is from RefSeq and is a predicted model, not a curated record. Lineage: Eukaryota; Metazoa; Tardigrada; Eutardigrada; Parachela; Macrobiotidae.
ACAUCUACCAGUAUAAAAACUGUAGCCUAUCAUGCUCAAAGCGCGCCCAUCGGUCAUAACUCAAGCAUUUCUUUACCGAAAUGGAAAAAAUGUCUGGAAAUUGAAAUAGCAGCAUCUGUUGCCGCUGCCUCAAUAACUCUUAUUUGCAGAAUGCUCCGCCCAAGCUCUCCAGUUCGCGGACCUUGCUCGAGAGUAUGAUCUGCCAUUUUUCAUAAGCAAUGCCGGAGAUCUGAGCUUGACAUUUGACAAACAAGACCCGAUACUCCACCAGUGCCGCCGCAGCAUCCUUUUCGGGAACGGAUGUCGGCGAUGCGCUGGCUGCACUGCUCAAGCGUUAUUCCUGGCGGACAGUCACGUUGAUCUGCGACACGUUGUCUCGCCACGUGGGCCUUUCCAAUUCCUUCGUCAUACGAUGCGGGGAAACCAGAAAAGUGUUGGCGAGA